Molecule: ribosomal RNA, 2511 nt
Filed under: Triticum aestivum (bread wheat)
Lineage: Eukaryota; Viridiplantae; Streptophyta; Magnoliopsida; Poales; Poaceae
Description: partial small subunit ribosomal RNA
Source: RNAcentral
AUGCUGCAGCGCGCGGCGGGCAACGCCUACUCCUGGUGGUGGGCGUCCCACAUCCGCACCAGCCAGUCCAAAUGGCUCGACGCCACCCUCAACGAGAUGGAGGAGAGGGUGAAGCUCAUGAUCAAGCUCAUCGGGGCGGAUGCCGACACGUUCGGCAAGAAGGCGGAGCUCUACUUCAGGAGCCGGCCGGAGCUCAUCAGCAACGUCGAGGAGAUGUUCAGAUCCUACCAAGCACUGGCUGACCGGUACGACCGGAUAUCUAGCGAGCUGCACAAGGCCAACCACACCAUUGCCACCGUUUUCCCGGACCAUGUCCAGUUCUCCAUGCAAGAGGGUGACGCCGAAGGAGUCCCCAAGGCAAUUACAAGUAUUGAUCUCAUCAACUACAAAUUCCCUGCUCUGGAAGGUUUGCCAAUGGGCUCACGCGUCACAAGCCGGGGAUCGAGCCCGAACCCGGCUCCAAAGAGGACCCAGACACACCGACGAGUCGGCUCCCACAUGAAUAAGGACAGGGCACUGGAAGAGAUCGACAAGCUGCAGAAGCAAAUCCUGGUGCUGCAGACCGAGAAGGAGUUCUUGAAGACCACUUAUGACAGUGCACUGGGCAAGUAUCUAGACAUUGAAAGGAAGGUGGCCGAGUUGCAGGAGGAAGUUUGCGGCUUGCAAGAUACUUUUAGCACUAGCUCGGGCAUUGAAGACAAUGAAGCCCGAGCACUGAUGGCUUCACGAGCCCUUAUGUCUUGUGAGCAUACAUUGGUUAACUUGCAGGGCCAGCAAAAGAGGUCAUCUAAAGAGGCGAGGACUGAAUUUCAAAGAUUCAACGAGGCAAAGGAGAAACUGAAAACCUUCAAGGAUGAGUGUGGGCAGCCCCAGACGCAAGAUGACGGGCCCGAUCACCAUGAAACAGGACUUACCCAAGUACUGCCACCUGUGGAUGGUGGCGAUUCUGUUCAGGACGAGGCUAAGCUUGACCUGCAGGAAGUAUGCCAAAAAAUCAAAGAACUAAUUGAAUUGCGCCCAGAGGCAUCAGUUUCAGACAUAGCGGAAAAAGUUGAUCGACUUGUGGAGAAGGUAGUCAACCUGGAGCUUGCUACUACGUCUCAGAAUGCUCAGAUCGAUAGAAUGAAAUCUGAGAUAGAUGACUUUCACAAGCGCCUGCAUGCCUUGGAGGAGGAGAAGGCAGCUUUGGUUGUUGAUUCCAGUAAGUUGGCCGAAAGGUUGAAGCAAGUUGAGGUGGUGCUACAAGUCGUCCUACAAAUUGGUAGGUCCAUACAACAUGGUACCGAGAAUAUUCGUGAAGAAAUGACUGAAGCUUGCAGUGAACUUGCUGGGUUUGUAGAAGCAUUGAACUCUCCAGCGUCUCAAAACAGCAAGUUUUUUGAUUCGUCUGAAAAGGGCUCGGAAGAUAUUGUGGUGCAGCAACAGCUUGUUGCUAAUCUAUCUGAAGGCGAGGAUAAUAUUUUAUCAGAAGAUUAUGCAUCUGUGCUUCAGAUCUACAAAGAUACAGAGCAACAACUUUCUGAAAUUGAGAAGGAAAACCAAAAGUAUCAUACUGAGGCGAUGUCAGAGCUGAAGGAACUGAAGAGCUCUAAUACAAUGAAAGACGAGGAGAUUCAUUCUCUUCGCCGCAUGCUAAGUUCUUUGCAGAGAAAGAUGAAUGUUUCUGUUUCGGAGAGCGGGGAGAUGUCUGAAGAAACGUCCAAAAUAAGCAGCACUCCUACAACUGAAGACAAAGAGAUUGCUGAUGUAGAUGAAUAUAUUAAGCAAUGCGAAGGUGAAGAACCACUUGAGUAUUCAGUUGGGGAGGAAAAAUUUAGAGCAGAGAUCGACAAGGUGUUGGAGCAGACCAUGGACUUCUGGCUGAGGUUUAGCACAUCAUACCAUCAAAUACGACAUUUCCAAACAGCAUUUGACAGGCUAAAAGCCGAGAUGAUCAAGUUGACCGAUGCACAGGCACAGGGAGUUGCAGAUGGAAUUCCUACUAAUCAUCAGGUAGCAAAACUGGAGUCAGCUGUUUUAGAAAAGAAAUUUCGGGAUUUGAAUACAGAUCUUCAAGUUUGGAUGGAAAAGAAUGUGCUAUUAAAAGGAGAGCUGGAGAACAGGUUCUCUUCACUAUGCAGCAUACAAGAGGAUAUAUCAAAGAUCACAAUUCUGGAUAAAGGUGGUGAAGAUCAUUUUACCCUCAUCCAAGCUGCAAAAUUCCAAGGAGAGGUUCUUAAUAUGAAACAAGAGAAUAACAAAGUUGCUAAAGAGCUAGAAGCUGGGCUGGACCACGUAAGAGGUCUCCAAGUGGAGGUUGGGAGGGAGCUCUUGAAACUCCGGGAGAAUCUUGAGCUAUCUAUAGCAAGAAGCAACCGCGCUCAACAGAACUUUCGAACCUUGUCAACAAAAGCUGUGGUUCCCCUUAGAACUUUCCUGUUUGGUGUGAAGCCGAAGAAGCCAUCACUCUUCUCCUGCAUGGGUCCUGGGAUGCAUAAGCAAUAUGGUAGCUCGAAGCAUGGUCAUAGAUGA